AACGCACCUUGCGCUCUGUGGUUAUUCCGCAGAGCAUGUCUGUUUGAGUGUCGCGAUACUUCUCAACCCCGCUUCAUUAACUUGAAGUAGUUUGGGCUUGGAUCAUGGUCGUUGCCGGCAUUAGCCAGGCUCGAUUGAAAUACAACAAGCUGGAUGAUGCUAUUAGCGGCUUGAACCUAACGUUGUAAUUACCUAUUCGUUAGGCUACGCUUUCAGUGUUCAAUGAGCUUACCAAUUGAUUAAGAACUUUAUUGUUCAAUUUGACCUCAAAUCAAGCAGGACUACCCGCUGAACUUAA
This 298-nucleotide unclassified non-coding RNA is filed under the name uncultured Xanthoporus. RNAcentral describes it as "partial contains 5.8S ribosomal RNA, internal transcribed spacer 2, and large subunit ribosomal RNA". The record is from RNAcentral. Lineage: Eukaryota; Fungi; Basidiomycota; Agaricomycetes; Polyporales; Steccherinaceae.